CCACCCGUGUCACCGGGUGAAUCUAGAAGGCUGAAUUAGGAGCGCCUUUGACAAUAUAGCGAGGCGCCGCAAGGUGCGGGGUACCAAUCGUGAGAGGCGUACUCUUCUGGCAGCCAUGGCCGGACAAUGCU
Molecule: non-coding RNA, 131 nt
Filed under: Pseudomonas gessardii
Lineage: Bacteria; Pseudomonadati; Pseudomonadota; Gammaproteobacteria; Pseudomonadales; Pseudomonadaceae
Source: RNAcentral